AGUGAACGCUAGCGGUAGGCCUAACACAUGCAAGUCGAACGGCAGCACAGUAAGAGCUUGCUCUUACGGGUGGCGAGUGGCGGACGGGUGAGGAAUACAUCGGAAUCUACUUUUUCGUGGGGGAUAACGUAGGGAAACUUACGCUAAUACCGCAUACGACCUACGGGUGAAAGCAGGGGAUCUUCGGACCUUGCGCGAUUGAAUGAGCCGAUGUCGGAUUAGCUAGUUGGCGGGGUAAAGGCCCACCAAGGCGACGAUCCGUAGCUGGUCUGAGAGGAUGAUCAGCCACACUGGAACUGAGACACGGUCCAGACUCCUACGGGAGGCAGCAGUGGGGAAUAUUGGACAAUGGGCGCAAGCCUGAUCCAGCCAUACUGCGUGGGUGAAGAAGGCCUUCGGGUUGUAAAGCCCUUUUGUUGGGAAAGAAAAGCAGCAGGUUAAUACCCCGCUGUUCUGACGGUACCCAAAGAAUAAGCACCGGCUAACUUCGUG
Molecule: ribosomal RNA, 492 nt
Filed under: uncultured bacterium
Lineage: Bacteria
Description: partial 16S ribosomal RNA
Rfam family: Bacterial small subunit ribosomal RNA
Source: RNAcentral